Non-coding RNA from Caenorhabditis elegans, 21 nucleotides. The record is from Ensembl. NCBI's taxonomy places the organism in Eukaryota, Metazoa, Nematoda, Chromadorea, Rhabditida, Rhabditidae.
UCAUUCGGACAAAAAUUUCCA